This is a long non-coding RNA of Suricata suricatta (meerkat), 320 nucleotides long. RefSeq lists it as uncharacterized. The record is from RefSeq and is a predicted model, not a curated record. Lineage: Eukaryota; Metazoa; Chordata; Mammalia; Carnivora; Herpestidae. The transcript has 2 exons.
AUCAUGUGAAGCUGAGGGGAGCUCAGGAGGCAUCAGGAAGCUAUCGCUUCCAAGAGCUACAUCUCUGCUGCAUCUUAUCCUCCCUAAGGAUCCCAGAGACCUCACUGUGUGACUACAACUUUCAUACCACGUCCCCCACAUCCUGGACCUAUGCUGUUGGCAUUGUGACCCCAGUGGAGGACUCCGAUAUGUAUUUUAGUUAGUCUGACCCUCUGUGGAAAGGAUUCUAGGGGAGUGGUGGAGAAAAUAAUAGUCACCACUGACCCCUCCCCUCACCCCAUCCAGCACAUAGGAUGAAAUAAAAUGAUGGAUGGGAAACA